UUGAUUGGGUCUAAAUUAGUAUAAUUGGGCUCGAUCAUGAUUUAAUUGGGAUUUAAUUUCGUAUUUGUUCUGAUCUAAGUCGGACUUGGAUCGAGCCGAAACUGGACCUAAUUGUAUCUCCCAUGAGUCGGACUCAUGUGGAAUUUUUUCGGGUCAAAAAUCAUUCAAAUGGGCUGUCAAUUUGGUUUAAAACCAAAUAGGCUUGCUUUAUUUCAAAAUGGGCUAACCCAUUUCCUAUUUGACUAAUCCCAUUUAAAUGGUUACGGCUGACUUGUUUUUAAACUCCCAUGGACCCGUGGACCACUCCCCCUCAUGGACCCUUAAGGAUUUUUUUUGUGAACC
This 342-nucleotide long non-coding RNA is filed under the name Phoenix dactylifera (date palm). Its description in RNAcentral is "long non-coding RNA (PDAC_LNC003392)". The record is from RNAcentral. Lineage: Eukaryota; Viridiplantae; Streptophyta; Magnoliopsida; Arecales; Arecaceae.